CUACUGGGGUUUCUAAUCCUGUUUGCUACCCACGCUUUCGUGUCUCAGCGUCAGAAGUGGUCCAGUAAGCUGUCUACACCACAGGUGUUCCUCCUGAUAUCUACGCAUUUCACCGCUACACCAGGAAUUCCGCUUACCUCUCCCACCCUCUAGCAUUCUAGUUUCCGCUGCACCCUCCCAGUUAAGCCGGGAGAUUUCACAACAGACUGGGAACACCGCCUACACACUCUUUACGCCCAGUAAUUCCGAACAACGCUCGCUGCCUACGUAUUACCGCGGCUGCUGGCAC
This 289-nucleotide ribosomal RNA is filed under the name uncultured Acidobacteriota bacterium. RNAcentral describes it as "uncultured Acidobacteria bacterium partial 16S ribosomal RNA". The record is from RNAcentral. Lineage: Bacteria; Pseudomonadati; Acidobacteriota.